This 329-nucleotide unclassified non-coding RNA is filed under the name soil metagenome. Its description in RNAcentral is "partial contains 5.8S ribosomal RNA, internal transcribed spacer 2, and large subunit ribosomal RNA". The stretch from base 1 to 120 matches the Rfam family "5.8S ribosomal RNA", at positions 35 to 154 of the family's 154-position model. The record is from RNAcentral.
GAUGAAGAACGUAGUGAAAUGCGAUAAGUAAUGUGAAUUGCAGAAUUCAGUGAAUCAUCGAAUCUUUGAACGCACAUUGCGCCCCCUGGUAUUCCGGGGGGCAUGCCUGUCCGAGCGUCAUUACAACCCUCAAGCUCAGCUUGGUGUUGGGCCCCGCCGCCCCGGCGGGCCCUAAAGUCAGUGGCGGUGCCGUCCGGCUCCGAGCGUAGUAAUUCUUCUCGCUCUGGAAGUCCGGUCGUGUGCUCGCCAGCAACCCCCAAUUUUUUCCAGGUUGACCUCGGAUCAGGUAGGGAUACCCGCUGAACUUAAGCAUAUCAAUAAGCGGAGGA